Long non-coding RNA from Hipposideros armiger (great roundleaf bat), 3905 nucleotides. RefSeq lists it as uncharacterized. The transcript has 3 exons. NCBI's taxonomy places the organism in Eukaryota, Metazoa, Chordata, Mammalia, Chiroptera, Hipposideridae. The record is from RefSeq and is a predicted model, not a curated record.
CAGACAGGUCCUGGGGGAGCAGAGUUCCCAUGGGCCUCACAGGCCACGGUCAGGCCAGAGGCUGACACAUAAGGGGCCCCUGGGUAAAGGAGGACGAGGCGCUUCUCUUCAGCACCCCUUCCUCCAAGCCGAUGUGGCCCUGGACUCCCCCAUCCUACUUGCAGAGGCCAAGACCCGCCCUCCAGGAGCAAGGGGCAGUGCGUGUGAGCCACUGAAGGGGCUGUCCCUGGGGAGAGCGUGCCCAGCUGGGACUGAAGUGACCCGAGAACUCAGUCAUUCCAUGACAGCCCCUAACAGCCCCUGAGAGGCUCGCGUGGGAAAGCUGUGCGGCCAGACGAGUUGGAAGAGAAAAGUGUGCCCCACUCCCCUGCCAGCAGCUGGAAUAAACCCUCCAGAGCCCAGGCUCUCUCAGACUCCAUGAUGCUGCUUGAAGACCCAACUCCACACGGGAUGGGGCGGUUGCCUGCCCACUUUCGGCGCUGCCACUCACUGCGCAGAUGGGCACUUUCGCUGGCCAGGCUAAUUGGUUUAUGGAUAACAUUAAUUACCAUGUUGCUCAUUAAUGGGUGAAAUCUUUAUUGGUGCCAUUGAUCAGCGAACUUGUUAGCUGGCCUCCUAACCAAUGGCGGAUGUAACAAGCUCUCUUAUUGGCAUAUCAAUUAAUGCAAUCAAUUCCUGGCCGGCGGCUGCCAUUCACUUCCCUGGUUGUUCAGGGGUAGGAGACAGAACCACGUCAAGCCCACCUGUUCUCCACUGACUUCCCAGCUCUCAACUGACUUCCAGGUGGUCUCUCUGCCACUUGGGGCUCAUCUAUUGAAAAAACAACAACAAAUCACACCUACCCUUCCAUUUGAAAAUCGCCUUUCUGUGUUCUAGAGGUGACCAAAGUGCUACACUCUAUCAGGAUACAUAAGCCAGAAGGGAAGGUAUGAGGGACCUGGGGACUGUGACAGCAAACGGGGGACCGAUGGAUUCAGGAGACGUUUCUAGAUGAGGCACUGAUAGAAAUGAUGUGGUCUCCAGCCUGGACCCUGGACAUUACUCCAGGCAACGAUGGGACCAGCCCGAAAAUACAAACCACAGUCAUCAGCCCUCUGCCCUUCUGGGGACCCCUUCCCAGGAUCCCCCAGUCUCCCAAUCCAUAGUCAUACCUACACGCCUCACGGCAUCCGCCUCCCUCAAGGCCUCCGUCCAGCGGGCCCUGUGUGAAAACACUGCCUACCCAUCUUAAAUCCCAAGCUCCGGUAUGGAAAAGGAGCCUCCGCCCCACUAUCGCCACCAGUGGUGCACACAAGUAGCAGAACGCUUGUUGAAAUGCCUACGAUCAACUGUCUCAAUGGCACUUACAUCAUUAUAAAGUCACAGGUGGGAAAUGUUUUCUCUGGGCAGAGAUAUGUCUUUAGGUACUAGGUUGUUUUAGAAAAGGCUCAGGGACUAGGGGUGUGGGGUGGUCCACAGAACUGUGGAUUCAGAGCUAGACCCUGCCGGUGACUAGCGAACAUCAGGGCAUGGAUGCCACCACACAGGGGAUGAGCUAACAUGCUUAUGGCUUUGGAGGGGUAUGUGGGGAAUGCGUGACCCCCAAGAUAUGCUUUAAAAGCAUUAACUAAAAUUUGCCCCAAAAGGGAGCAGCUGGGAAUAUUAUUCCAGAUUUGUUUCUAAAUGCCAAAAAUAAAGUUGAAAAGGGUAGAAAAUCACUAUUCUACUCAGCGGUGCUAGUGCUAUUAAUAAACUUUGCAAGCACAAACAUUUAACUCAAGGAGAGAGGGUACAGGCAACAAGAAUUGGUGAAAAGCGGAUGGAGGGUGGGGACGAGAGCAACUUUUGGUAGAGCAGUGGCAGAGCACAGGAGGCUGGUGAGGCCGUGGCUCGGGGACAUAAUUCUCAGUGUUUGAAAGCACCACUCGGGGCUUCUAGGAUAAACAGUAGAAAUAUUUCCUCUCAUUUAUAAAUAGAAAGUGACGUUUUUCCACACAGGCCUUCAGUACUUCCAUAUUCACAAGACAGAGGCGGGUCCUGUACAGACCAAGUCAGGGGCCAGAAAGAGGUACCCCAGCCAGGCGACACCCUGUCAGUGUGGAGUCUGACAGGCGGCAGAGAGAAGGGGAAAAAGGUGUCAGAGGGGAGGCCGAGACCUCCUCAGCCUCAAAGCCACUCUUCGCGUUGGAACAAAAGGCGGCACACCCUACGCAGUGGUCACCCAAUGCAGAUGACAGGGAGAUCCCCAGAUAAGGGGCCCUUCAUCAGCCACUCAACGCCGAUGUCAUUUUUCCAGCAAGAGUGGCCCUCCGUGCUUCCAACGGCACGAGUCCCGGUGCACCUCUAGGGUAGAGUUCCCGUGGUACCCUGGUGUCUGAACUGCCCGCUGUGAGCCCUAUAAUGCUGCAGGGGUGCUGCAAGUUUUGAUUCCAAUUUCAUUUUAAAUUGGCGAUUAAGUUACUGGUUAUUAUUAAAUGCUAUAAUACUAAGGCAUACUCAAAUGUGAUGCAUGCCAAAAUUUAACACCCCAGAGGCCAGGGCAUUAAGUUGUAUAGCCAAGUUUACUCGUUUUUGAGUAAAUCUCAGAGUAAAACAAUGUCUGCUAUUUCUGCUUAAUUGAGGACUCUUCUGAGAUUGCAAGGCACCCUGCUCAAAACCCUUGCCAUAUGGAACCACUUCCACAUGAAUGAGGAUUUGUAUAAUAAUAGAGCCAAACCAAAACACAUAAACAAAGCACAAGCUUAGUCCAUACCCCUUCACUACCUUCCAUAAUGCUUAAUUUUGAUCAAAAUGUUGAUCAACUCUGCCCUGUUCUCAUUUUUUGAUACAUAAAUGUUACAAAUCUCAAAUCCUAAAACAACUACAGUUACAAAGGUUUUUAAAAAAAAUAAAAAUUUACGUAUUAGGUUCAAAUUGGAUUUCAUUUUUCAGAAAAGAGAGCUCCACUAAUAAAAGUUUACAAUCCAUUGUUUUCAUCCAAUGUAUAGUUCUAGAUUCAAGUGGAGUGCGCUCUUUGGAGGGCCUCUCUUAGAAGCAACAUGGAAAGCCUAAAGUUUCUGGUAAGAAGUUAAAAACUCACAGUUCUACGUUAACAAAGCACCCUUACGUACGUUUGGUAUCCUAUGAAUACUACCCUGGCAUGUGACGAUAAUGUGCCAAAACGGAGGGAGUUGUGCCUCGGUGUUAAGAUUAUAGCUGAUGUAAAAGCAUUGUUUUCUGUCGUGUAUUUUCUUUGCAAUAAAAAAUAAAGGAGGAGAACAGUGCCUGGAUGACUUCCCACAAGAGCACAAGCCCCAGUCCCUUUCAGACAGGGCGCCUUCCUUCUCGUCUGCCAUGGUGAUGCUCAGAAUGGCAGCGGUCCCUGCUCUGAUAAUCUGACCAGACCGAAAGCUUCCAUGGCGUGUUUUCUUUUCCCAAAGACAAGAGCUUAGAAGCUCUCUCUCUCUCUAAGACAGAAAAGAGGAGCUGUCUAUUCUGUUCAUUUAUUUAUUUACCAAGUCAUGACACAUGUCUAUGAGUUUGUGCCGACUAGGUUGCAGGCAUUGUGGAUCUAACUGGACAAGGACACAGUCCUCCCCUCGUGAAACUUACCCUCCAGCAGCCUCACCAUGGGUGACAUACAAUGACUGUGUUACAUCCAACCUUGUCACUGAACCAUCAUGUCAACAUGCACCUGGACAAGAAAAAUCACCUCCUUAAAUAGACGUAUGCUUGCUCACCUGAGGGAUGACAAGGUUGGCCUUGGGGGGCGGUGGUGUCUAAUGGGGCUGCCAUGUGAGGGUGCUAGGUUGGCCACUGUUCAGUACUAUCAGCGAACAGCAGGAACCACCGAAGAAUGAAGCCCCGCCCACUGUGAAAAGACUCUUGUUCCCAAGACCCUGACCCAUGCUUCCCUGAAUCUUCACCUGGCUGAUUAUGCAUCAAGG